GACAGAGGGUGCAAACGUUGUUCGGAAUUACUGGGCGUAAAGGGCUCGUAGGCGGCCAACUAAGUCGGAUGUGAAAUCCCCAGGCUCAACCUGGGAACUGCGUCUGAUACUGGAUGGCUUGAAUCCGGGAGAGGGAUGCAGAAUUCCAGGUGUAGCGGUGAAAUGCGUAGAUAUACGGAGGAAUACCUGAGGCGAAGGCGGGUUGCUGGGCCAACACUGACGCUGAGGCGCGAAAGCCAGGGGAGCAAACGGG
Molecule: ribosomal RNA, 253 nt
Filed under: uncultured bacterium
Lineage: Bacteria
Description: partial 16S ribosomal RNA
Rfam family: Bacterial small subunit ribosomal RNA
Source: RNAcentral